This 216-nucleotide ribosomal RNA is filed under the name Glomeromycotina sp. RNAcentral describes it as "partial small subunit ribosomal RNA". The stretch from base 32 to 216 matches the Rfam family "Eukaryotic small subunit ribosomal RNA", at positions 678 to 864 of the family's 1831-position model. Lineage: Eukaryota; Fungi; Glomeromycota. The record is from RNAcentral.
GGGUAAGUAGGUUGGUCGUGCCACCGGUACGUAUUGGUCUCACUGAUUCCUCCUUCCUGAAGAACCGUAAUGCCACUAAUUUGGUGUUGCGGGGAAACAGGACUGUUACUUUGAAAAAAUUAGAGUGUUUAAAGCAAGCUAACGCUUGAAUACAUUAGCAUGGAAUAAUGAAAUAGGACGAUCGAUCCUAUUUUGUUGGUUUCUAGGAUUGACGUA